Molecule: long non-coding RNA, 399 nt
Organism: Danaus plexippus (monarch butterfly)
Lineage: Eukaryota; Metazoa; Arthropoda; Insecta; Lepidoptera; Nymphalidae
Exons: 2
Source: RefSeq, a predicted model, not a curated record
UAUAAAUUGCAACAAAUGAAUUUUAAAAACAAUACAUAUUUUUUUAUAUUAACGAUACAAUUAAAUAUAUAACGAUAAUUUUAAAUUGGAAUAAAAUUAUUUAACAAAGACAAUACAAAUGUUGGUAACAAAUGUAAAUUCCUAAACGGAUUUGCGAUAACGUCAUAGAUUAAUAAUUCUUAGUGACUAAUCUAGUUACGUGCCUAGGACUAGCACAAAGGAGAUUGUUUAUAAAAUAAAUGCUUCGAGUGGUUUCUUCACGAUAACAAAUAUAUCGGAGUGACAGUGACUGGGGGCGGAUCGGGACGAGAUAAAAUAUCUUAUCUUGAGAGGGAAGCCGCUUAAUCAAUAUAAAUGGUUACAAAUAUAAUCGAUACAGUAAAAAACUUAGAAUAGAAA